This 253-nucleotide ribosomal RNA is filed under the name uncultured bacterium. RNAcentral describes it as "partial 16S ribosomal RNA". It matches the Rfam family "Bacterial small subunit ribosomal RNA", at positions 524 to 776 of the family's 1533-position model. The record is from RNAcentral.
UACAGAGGGGGCCAGCGUUAUUCGGAAUUAUUGGGCGUAAAGGGCGCGUAGGCGGCCAUGCGUGUCUUCCGUGAAAUCCCUCGGCUUAACCGAGGACGUGCGGAAGAAACUGCAAGGCUCGAGUCCGGAAGAGGGGGGCGGAAUUCCCAGUGUAGCGGUGAAAUGCGUAGAUAUUGGGAGGAACACCAGUGGCGAGGGCGGUCCCCUGGGCCGGAACUGACGCUGAGGCGCGAAAGCGUGGGGAGCGAACAGG